Non-coding RNA from Nicotiana attenuata, 102 nucleotides. NCBI's taxonomy places the organism in Eukaryota, Viridiplantae, Streptophyta, Magnoliopsida, Solanales, Solanaceae. The record is from Rfam.
GGUCUCUUCGGGAACAUUCAAUAAAAUAAAAAUGAUACAGAGAAAAUUAGUAUGACUUUCGCGCAAGAAUAAAACACCAGUCUAGAAAUAAUCAAAAUUUAA